AAGUCGUAACAAGGUUUCCGUAGGUGAACCUGCGGAAGGAUCAUUAAUGAAUAAACCUGGUUGGGUUGUUGCUGGUCUUUCGGGACAUGUGCACACCUACCACUUUUAUUAACCACCUGUGCACCCUAUGUAGACUGAUGACAACAUGUCGAGGCAACUCGGAUUGAGGACUGCUGUGUGCCUGCAAAGGCCCAGCUUUCCUUGAGUCUCAGUCUAUGUCUUAUAUAAACCCCUUAUGCAUGUAUCAGAAUGUAUAGUAAGGCCUUUGUGCCUCUAAAUCAAAUACAACUUUCAACAACGGAUCUCUUGGCUCUC
RNAcentral lists this unclassified non-coding RNA (315 nucleotides) under fungal sp. RNAcentral describes it as "partial internal transcribed spacer region". The stretch from base 1 to 46 matches the Rfam family "Eukaryotic small subunit ribosomal RNA", at positions 1786 to 1831 of the family's 1831-position model. The record is from RNAcentral. Lineage: Eukaryota; Fungi.